AGAACAGCCUGUAGCUCUUUACAAGCACUGUGCUCUUUCCCAUCUUGAAGGCUUUGCUCCCGCUGCUUCCUCUUUGUGCAGUUACCUCUCUUCCACUGGAUAACAGUCACUCAUCCUUUAAGAUUCAGUUCAAUGAUGACUUCUUUCUGGAAGCCUCUUCUGAGCCAGCCACCAGACUAGGUUGGGUGUUCCUCUUCUGUGUCCCAUAGUACCAGUGUUUACUUCUAAUAUUUCAUAAUUGUCUGAUAAUGGAUCUGCCUUACCAGUUCUGCGAUAUUGGUAUCAACUUGACUGACCCUAUGUUCAGAGGAAUUUAUAGGGGGGUUCAAAAGCAUCAAGAUGACUUACAGGAUGUAAUAGGGAGAGCUGUCGAGAUUGGUGUUAAAAAGUUUAUGAUUACAGGUGGAAAUCUACAAGACAGUAAAGAUGCACUGCAUUUGGCACAAACAAAUGGUAUCCUCAUAUUUCUUUUACCAAAAAAAAAAUGAAUUAAGUAAUUUUGAAGAAGUCUUUCUGAAAACUGCUUCAGGUAUGUUUUUCAGUACAGUUGGAUGUCAUCCUACAAGAUGUGGUGAAUUUGAAAAGAAUAACCCUGAUCUUUACUUAAAGGAGUUGCUAAAUCUUGCUGAAAACAAU
This 636-nucleotide long non-coding RNA is filed under the name Homo sapiens (human). RNAcentral describes it as "TatD DNase domain containing 1 (ENSG00000291730.1)". Lineage: Eukaryota; Metazoa; Chordata; Mammalia; Primates; Hominidae. The record is from RNAcentral.